RNAcentral lists this ribosomal RNA (212 nucleotides) under uncultured bacterium. RNAcentral's name for it is "partial 16S ribosomal RNA". It matches the Rfam family "Bacterial small subunit ribosomal RNA", at positions 1289 to 1500 of the family's 1533-position model. The record is from RNAcentral.
CAGUUCAGAUUGCAGGCUGCAACUCGCCUGCAUGAAGUCGGAAUUGCUAGUAAUCGUAGGUCAGCAUACUACGGUGAAUACGUUCCCGGGCCUUGUACACACCGCCCGUCAAACCAUGAGAGUUGGCAACACCCGAAGUCGGUAGUCUAACCGCAAGGAGGACGCCGCCGAAGGUGGGGUUGGUGAUUAGGGUUAAGUCGUAACAAGGUACC